Molecule: small nucleolar RNA, 100 nt
Organism: Takifugu rubripes (torafugu)
Lineage: Eukaryota; Metazoa; Chordata; Actinopteri; Tetraodontiformes; Tetraodontidae
Gene: SNORD16
Rfam family: Small nucleolar RNA SNORD16
About the family: U16 is a member of the C/D class of snoRNA which contain the C (UGAUGA) and D (CUGA) box motifs. U81 acts as a guanine methylation guide and is found in an intron of ribosomal proteins L1 gene in animals.
Source: Ensembl
UGCACUGAUGGUGUAAUUUGCGUCUGACUCUGUGACCAGUGACAGUUGCCUGCUGUCAAUAUGCUGGCGCAUAUGGCUGACGAGCAACAGUGUCUGAGCA